AUUGAACGCUGGCGGCAGGCCUAACACAUGCAAGUCGAGCGGAUGAAGGGAGCUUGCUCCUGGAUUCAGCGGCGGACGGGUGAGUAAUGCCUAGGAAUCUGCCUGGUAGUGGGGGAUAACGUCCGGAAACGGGCGCUAAUACCGCAUACGUCCUGAGGGAGAAAGUGGGGGAUCUUCGGACCUCACGCUACCAGAUGAGCCUAGGUCGGAUUAGCUAGUUGGUGGGGUAAAGGCCUACCAAGGCGACGAUCCGUAACUGGUCUGAGAGGAUGAUCAGUCACACUGGAACUGAGACACGGUCCAGACUCCUACGGGAGGCAGCAGUAGGGAAUAUUGGACAAUGGGCGAAAGCCUGAUCCAGCCAUGCCGCGUGUGUGAAGAAGGUCUUCGGAUUGUAGAGCACUUUAAGUUGGGAGGAAGGGCAGUAAGUUAAUACCUUGCUGUUUUGACGUUACCAACAGAAUAAGCACCGGCUAACUUCGUG
Molecule: ribosomal RNA, 484 nt
Filed under: uncultured bacterium
Lineage: Bacteria
Description: partial 16S ribosomal RNA
Rfam family: Bacterial small subunit ribosomal RNA
Source: RNAcentral